GCAAGUCGAGCGAGAAGGUUAUGAUUGAUUCUUCGGAUGAUUGAAUAACUGGAAAGCGGCGGACGGGUGAGUAACGCGUGGGUAACCUGCCCUAUACAGGAGGAUAGCAGUUGGAAACGACUAUUAAUACUCCAUAAGCAAAUAGUACCGCAUGGUGCAGUUUAAAAGAUUUAUCGGUAUAGGAUGGACCCGCGUCUGAUUAGCUAGUUGGUAAGGUAAUGGCUUACCAAGGCGACGAUCAGUAGCCGACCUGAGAGGAUGAUC
This 264-nucleotide ribosomal RNA is filed under the name uncultured bacterium. RNAcentral describes it as "partial 16S ribosomal RNA". It matches the Rfam family "Bacterial small subunit ribosomal RNA", at positions 57 to 305 of the family's 1533-position model. The record is from RNAcentral.